RNAcentral lists this ribosomal RNA (983 nucleotides) under bacterium B-WPhG3. Its description in RNAcentral is "bacterial SSU rRNA". It matches the Rfam family "Bacterial small subunit ribosomal RNA", at positions 527 to 1507 of the family's 1533-position model. The record is from RNAcentral.
UAAGGUGGCAAAGCGUUGUCCGGAAUUAUUGGGCGUAAAGGGCUCGCAGGGCGGUUCCUUAAGUCUGAUGUGAAAGCCCACGGCUCAACCGGGAGGGUCAUUGGAAACUGGGGAACUUGAGUACAGAAGAGGAGAGUGGAAUUCCACGUGUAGCGGUGAAAUGCGUAGAGAUGUGGAGGAACACCAGUGGCGAAGGCGACUCUCUGGUCUGUAACUGACGCUGAGGAGCGAAAGCGUGGGGAGCGAACAGGAUUAGAUACCCUGGUAGUCCACGCCGUAAACGAUGAGUGCUAAGUGUUAGAGGGUUUCCGCCCUUUAGUGCUGCAGCAAACGCAUUAUGCACUCCGCCUGGGGAGUACGGUCGCAAGACUGAAACUCAAAGGAAUUGACGGGGGCCCGCACAAGCGGUGGAGCAUGUGGUUUAAUUCGAAGCAACGCGAAGAACCUUACCAGGUCUUGACAUCCCAUGACAACUCUAGAGAUAGAGCGUUCCCCUUCGGGGGACAUGGUGACAGGUGGUGCAUGGUUGUCGUCAGCUCGUGUCGUGAGAUGUUGGGUUAAGUCCCGCAACGAGCGCAACCCUUGAUCUUAGUUGCCAGCAUUUAGUUGGGCACUCUAAGGUGACUGCCGGUGACAAACCGGAGGAAGGUGGGGAUGACGUCAAAUCAUCAUGCCCCUUAUGACCUGGGCUACACACGUGCUACAAUGGAUGGUACAAAGGGCUGCGAGACUGCGAAGUUAAGCGAAUCCCAUAAAACCAUUCUCAGUUCGGAUUGCAGGCUGCAACUCGCCUGCAUGAAGCUGGAAUCGCUAGUAAUCGUGGAUCAGCAUGCCACGGUGAAUACGUUCCCGGGCCUUGUACACACCGCCCGUCACACCACGAGAGUUUGUAACACCCGAAGUCGGUGGAGUAACCGUAAGGAGCUAGCCGCCUAAUGGUGGGACAGAUGUAGGGUGUGAAGUAGCCUCGAGCAGAAGAGCCA